UACGUAGGGUGCAAGCGUUGUCCGGAAUUAUUGGGCGUAAAGAGCUCGUAGGCGGUUUGUCGCGUCUGCUGUGAAAACCCGAGGCUCAACCUCGGGCCUGCAGUGGGUACGGGCAGACUAGAGUGCUGUAGGGGAGACUGGAAUUCCUGGUGUAGCGGUGAAAUGCGCAGAUAUCAGGAGGAACACCGGUGGCGAAGGCGGGUCUCUGGGCAGUAACUGACGCUGAGGAGCGAAAGCGUGGGGAGCGAACAGG
This 253-nucleotide ribosomal RNA is filed under the name uncultured bacterium. Its description in RNAcentral is "partial 16S ribosomal RNA". It matches the Rfam family "Bacterial small subunit ribosomal RNA", at positions 524 to 776 of the family's 1533-position model. The record is from RNAcentral.